Molecule: ribosomal RNA, 620 nt
Filed under: Microbacterium sp. I12A-00864
Lineage: Bacteria; Bacillati; Actinomycetota; Actinomycetes; Micrococcales; Microbacteriaceae
Description: bacterial SSU rRNA
Rfam family: Bacterial small subunit ribosomal RNA
Source: RNAcentral
UCAGUGGCGAACGGGUGAGUAACACGUGAGCAACCUGCCCCGGACUCUGGGAUAAGCGCUGGAAACGGCGUCUAAUACUGGAUAUGAGACACCACCGCAUGGUGAGUGUUUGGAAAGAUUUUUCGGUCUGGGAUGGGCUCGCGGCCUAUCAGCUUGUUGGUGAGGUAAUGGCUCACCAAGGCGUCGACGGGUAGCCGGCCUGAGAGGGUGACCGGCCACACUGGGACUGAGACACGGCCCAGACUCCUACGGGAGGCAGCAGUGGGGAAUAUUGCACAAUGGGCGCAAGCCUGAUGCAGCAACGCCGCGUGAGGGACGACGGCCUUCGGGUUGUAAACCUCUUUUAGCAGGGAAGAAGCGAAAGUGACGGUACCUGCAGAAAAAGCGCCGGCUAACUACGUGCCAGCAGCCGCGGUAAUACGUAGGGCGCAAGCGUUAUCCGGAAUUAUUGGGCGUAAAGAGCUCGUAGGCGGUUUGUCGCGUCUGCUGUGAAAUCCCGAGGCUCAACCUCGGGUCUGCAGUGGGUACGGGCAGACUAGAGUGCGGUAGGGGAGAUUGGAAUUCCUGGUGUAGCGGUGGAAUGCGCAGAUAUCAGGAGGAACACCGAUGGCGAAGGCAGA